Molecule: non-coding RNA, 45 nt
Filed under: Schistosoma margrebowiei
Lineage: Eukaryota; Metazoa; Platyhelminthes; Trematoda; Strigeidida; Schistosomatidae
Source: RNAcentral
AUUCAACUGACGAGUCCAAAAUAGGACAAAACGCACGUCAUGGAU